GAAGCACAGCACAGCAGCUAAUCAACGCGAAGAGCCUCACUCGCACCAGCACCGGUAUCUCUAGCACUGCUGCACACCACCUUUUGAGCAUAGCGAGCACUUGGCCACUGCCACUUCUUUUCCAGCUUCAGACACGCACCGGCUAAGCUUUUCAGCCAAGGCGCCUGCGUGUGUGUGUGGCCCGGCUUCCUCAACGUAUACCCAUGUAGGCACUCCAUCACACACGCACACCUCUCUCUCUCCCCCUUCGCUUGUCUUGUAGAUACGCCCUGCUCCUCCGCCUUUCCUUUUCUGUUACAAAGCCACUCAGUCACACCUGGGAAGCUCCCUCUCCAUUCCCCACAGCCCGCACACAGACACACUUCUUUUUAUUGGGUGUUGCUACGCGCGUCUGCCGUCUCCUCAUCACUCGCGGAUUCCCCUUGCUUCUCUCUCCUCAGCCCCUCCUUGUGUGUGCGUGUGCGUGUUUCUCGCUGUUUUGUGUUGUUGUCUCGGUGACACCUUGCAGAGGCGUUACGUGGUACACACGGCACUGGUUUUCUUCUGCCCAUUCUCUCGCCUAUCCUCCCCGCGCGCUGCUCACUCCCACACAUCCCCAUCGCAGAUUCCUGCAGCUGCUCCUCUUCUUGUUUCCUCCACUGUCGACAUUCCGCGUGCCUGCUCUUGUGCGUGUGCGUCGGUGCAACGCGCUUCUCUGGUCUUCGAUACUGACUCACGUACUGGCACACCAAUGCACGGCGGCAGCAGCAACAGCGGGGCAGCGGCGCGGCUGCAAAAGGAGCUCGUAGAGGUGAUGAUGAGUGAUGCCGAGGGCAUCUCCGCCUACCCGGAGGACGACAACCUAUUCCGCUGGAUCGGCAGCGUCAAGGGCGUACCGAAUACGCCGUAUGAGGAGCUCGAGUACAACUUGCUGCUUGUUUUUCCGCCCAACUACCCGUACGAGGCGCCCACUGUCACAUUCAUGACGCCGUGCUUCCACCCGAACGUAGAUACGCGUGGGGCCAUCUGCCUCGACAUCCUCAAGGAGAAAUGGUCGGCCGUCUACUCGGUGAGCUCCAUCUUGCUGUCCAUCCAGAACCUACUCAACAACCCGAACAACGAGUCACCGCUGAACAAUCAUGCCGCGCAGCUCUGGCACGACAGGGAGCAGUUCACCAUCGCUGUGCGGGCCACUCACGGUGGAGCGCCAGGCUCUUAGACGCGUGCCUGCCGCUACGUGCUACGUGCGUGUGUGUGUGUGUAUGUGUGUGUGUGAGAGUCUGUGCGUUGCUGAGUCCUAGAGCUUUGUGUGCUCCCCACUGGUGCAACGGCGCGUGCGGCGACGUUUGGUGCACGGGAGGGGGUAGGUGGCCACUAACCGAUGUCCACAACGCUAGUACGGCUGCGCGCUGCUGGCGGCCUCUUCCCUCUCUCCGCACAAAACCAAUGGGGUGCGCAUGCUAUACAUGGCCUAACGCGACUGUGUGCGCGCGUGGGCCCCACCGCGUGUGCACGUCUGGUUCACGUGUCCAUGCUCUACAUGGACGUGCGUGCAUGGGUGGUGGUGUGUACACGGCGGUGCGCGCAGCACGUGCUGGCAUGCACGCCCCUGGUUGGCCGGCAAGCAGAUGAAACCGAAGAGUACGGAAAGAAGGAGGGGUGAUAGUGUGCCGCUUCUCCUCGGCCUUUGGUCCGCCGGCAAAGCACCCGCGUAGCCCGAGAAGGCACUGAUCGUUCGGUGCUCGAGUGCUGCACACGUGCGGGCAUACGUUUAUUUUCGUCUUUUUUGUCUUCCCUUCGUGUCUGUACGGGUAAGCCCCCCCCCCCCACCUCCUUCCGCUCAGCAUAUCGCUCCUCCUGUCUACUUCUCCCGCCUCACCUCCUGUGCACACGCGUCCGUGUGUAUGUGUGUGUAUGUGUGGAGCGAACACCCUCUAUCUCUCGCAGUACUGCAUACUCUCUCCCUCCCCCUUCCCCCCUUGCCUUCCUCGGUGUUAUGCAAAG
This 1983-nucleotide unclassified non-coding RNA is filed under the name Leishmania donovani. RNAcentral's name for it is "gene:LdHU3.24.2710(CDS-product:ubiquitin-conjugat ing_enzyme_E2_putative)". Lineage: Eukaryota; Euglenozoa; Kinetoplastea; Trypanosomatida; Trypanosomatidae. The record is from RNAcentral.